Molecule: ribosomal RNA, 253 nt
Filed under: uncultured bacterium
Lineage: Bacteria
Description: partial 16S ribosomal RNA
Rfam family: Bacterial small subunit ribosomal RNA
Source: RNAcentral
CACGGGGGGAGCAAGCGUUGUUCGGAAUUACUGGGCGUAAAGCGUGCGUAGGUGGUUUGUUAAGUCUGUUGUGAAAGCCCCGGGCUCAACCUGGGAAUGGCAAUGGAUACUGGCAAGCUAGAGUGCGGUAGAGGGUAGUGGAAUUCCCGGUGUAGCGGUGAAAUGCGUAGAGAUCGGGAGGAACACCAGUGGCGAAGGCGGCUACCUGGACCAGCACUGACACUGAGGCACGAAAGCGUGGGGAGCAAACAGG